CUGGGACCUUCGUGGACCCCCGUCUUUUGCACUUGAGGAUUUGCUGCUUCCUGCCUUGCAGGGAAAGUGCUGCACAAACACACGUUCUGCCCAAGAGUGGGAGGAAUUUAAUCUUCAUACAGGAAGGUAAGUCAAAGGAGGAAGGAGAGAACUUGAACCGUCACAGGGGGCCUGUAUUUUCAUAGGAUUGUCCUGUUCCUUCUCAGAGAACAAAAAAAGAAACUAAGGGGACAUAGUGCACAUUUGAUCGAAGCCAGAAGCCCAGGGAGGCUCCUGUAGUCCUGGGGAGGCC
RNAcentral lists this long non-coding RNA (292 nucleotides) under Felis catus (domestic cat). Its description in RNAcentral is "lncRNA (ENSFCAG00000041172.2)". Lineage: Eukaryota; Metazoa; Chordata; Mammalia; Carnivora; Felidae. The record is from RNAcentral.